CCUGUUUGGGGAAGGGAACGGCUUGCCGUCGUUGCUUCUGCUGGCGGCUUUUCACAGAUUUUGAGGGUUUCUCCGUGCUAGCGGGGACUCGCUCCGCGGCGGGCACUGUUUCCGGGUCUCGCCGCUCUCCUCCUCAGAGCCUUCCCGCUGGCGUUAGGUUAGCCGCCCAGCGAAAAGGGAGAGAAACUCGGAAAUGGGUUGUCUGCACUGACCGCGUCGGGCAGCGUUCCGGGUGUGCGGAGCCGACGGUCCCCGCGGAGAUUUGGUUCUGGCGGGAUUUCCCCAGGCGGGCAUUUCACAAGUAUCACCAGUGAAUGGUAUUACACGUCUGCCAAGGCAUCCACCUGUGAGUUCACCUUCAGCCAAUCACCGAGUGAUUUGUUGGCCCUGUUUGAAGGCACUAUGCUAGCUAGGUCCUGGGGGUUCAGGGAUUGGCAAAAUAAACCCGUCUCUGCCCUUAACAGUCCUUGACAGCAGGGAUCAGAUGUUAAAGAAGUAAACAGGCAAAUGUGUGACAUAAUAAAUGCAAAUGCAUGGAAGGAAAAGUACGGGGUACUUUGAGAGAGAAGUAGAGUAAAUGUCAUUUAGAAAGGGUGUAAUUUAGCAGUGUUCCACGAAAAAGAAAAAGCAAGAAUAAAGGCUCUUGAAGUGAGAAAGGCUUGUCAUAGUGAAGAGACUUAAAGCAGACUAGUGUGGCUGCUGUAAUUCUGACCAGAUUCUUCUACUUCUUGAAUAUCAAAUCUGGCUUUUCUUUUUUCUUUUUUUUUGCCUUGUCUAUUGCCACCGACUCAGUUUAGCCUUUGUCAUUUUUAUCCUGGAUCAGUGCAAAAACUUAACUAAUGUCCUAUCCUUUUGUUCUUUGCAUCCUUCACUCUUCCUAAAAUACAAAUUUUAAACUAUAUUUUUCUUUAACCUCACUGACUUUAGAACAAAAUCCAGAUCCUUUGCAUGGUGUAGAAGGCCCUAUAUUUUUCUGGCCCCUGCUCAUCUCAUGUUUUGCUUCUCUCUGCACCCCUGAAACUCCAUCUUGCCUUUGCACAUGCCUUUGCCUUUGCUUGAGACAGUCCUCCAUCUCAGCUUCUCCCUGGCUAACUUUUUUUUUAUGUAAAUUUAUUUAUUUUAUUGGCUGUGUUGGGUCUUUUUUUGUUGUGCGUGGGCUUUCUUUUUAGUUGCGGUGAGUGGGGACUACUCUUCAUUGUGGUGCCCGGGCUGCUCAUUGCCAUGGCUUCUCUUGUUGCGGAGCACAGGCUCUAGGCGCGUGGGCUUCAGUAGUUGCAGCACAUGGGCUCAAUAGUUGUGGCUCACGGGCUCUGAAGCACAGGCUCAAUAGUUGUGGCACAUGGGCUUAGUUGCUCCGCGGCACGUGGGAUCUUCCUGGAGCAGGGAUCGAACCCGUGUCCUCUGCGUUGACAGGCGGAUUCUCAGCCACUGCGCCACCUAGGAAGCCCUCCCUGGCUAACUUUUAAUUAUCCUUCAGGGGCCAACCCAGACAUCACUUUCUUCAGUAUGUCUUGUUUGACAUCCCUGAUUUGGAUUAAGCGCCCUGUGUCACUCAGUGUAUUCUGCUGUCAUCAGUCUUUGCCGUGCUUAAUUGUGUUGGUCUCCCUUGAUGCACAGAACUUUUUUAGGUUGUCACUCUUUGCUUGGUACAGUACCUAGUACCUUGAAAAUGUCACUUGGCAAAUGAAAAGAAAGAAUACUAACUCAUUUUUAAGCCACUUAUAUAGGCAGUGUGGUCUGUGGAAAGACUUGAGUUUGAAUCCAAACUCCUUCACUUACUAGUUGUGUGAUCUGGGUGAGGGAUUUAACAUUAUCUGUUUUGUCAUUUGUAAAACUGAAAAUA
Long non-coding RNA from Hippopotamus amphibius kiboko, 1843 nucleotides. RefSeq lists it as uncharacterized. The transcript is spliced from 3 exons. The record is from RefSeq and is a predicted model, not a curated record. Lineage: Eukaryota; Metazoa; Chordata; Mammalia; Artiodactyla; Hippopotamidae.